GUGUGUUUGCAUGUGUGUGUGUUUUCUCGUUAGUCACACUGGCUCUUGUUGGAUUUGUGUGUGUUUUUGUUUGUUUGUUUUUUUUUUUUUCCAUUUGCACAAGGUCACAUUCAGAGCUCUUCCUCCCUUAGGAGAGGUUGCACAUUCGUCACUUCAUCUGCCUCCCAUUUCCUCCAGUUGGGAUCACACAGCCCUUCCUGAGACUAAGCUGAAAGCGUUUCCUCUCACCGGAGAGAGGGCCCUGCACAGCUGGGGGCCAGGCUGCUCAGCUCAAGCAAAAGCUGUCCCAAGAGGAACAAGUCACCAGCCAAGGAAGUCUGGAAGCUCAGAGAGGAAUUCAUUGAGGCCUUUACGGGCAGCAGCGGUCAGAACUAGGAUCAUAGACUGGGCCAUGAAGCUCGGUAAUUUAUUUGAUUAAUAGGAAGGACUAGACCGGAGACACCUAGAUUUUUGCAAAUAUAUUUUUCAAAUUGUGCAUAUAUUUACUGAAACUCUGUGUGGUUUUCAACAGCUUGGGUGUCUAAUCUUUCGCCCCAUAUUCCCAGCCUUCUAAAGCACUCCUGGCAGUAUUAAGAACUGGCCGGGCAUGGUGGCUCACACCUGUAUCCCAGCACUUUGGGAGGCUGAGGCGGGUGGAUCACAAGGUCAGGAGUUCAAGACCAGCCUGGCCAACAUAGUGAAACUAUGUUUCUACUAAAAAUACAAAAAAUAAUUAGCCAGGCCUGGUGGCAGGC
This 734-nucleotide long non-coding RNA is filed under the name Homo sapiens (human). Its description in RNAcentral is "HSALNT0009870". The record is from RNAcentral. Lineage: Eukaryota; Metazoa; Chordata; Mammalia; Primates; Hominidae.